ACCAUAACUUGAAAAAAACAACUUCUGAUCUUUUAUAAUAAAUAACUUUUCUUUCAGAAUCUUAUAAAAGCAAGCAUUCAUUCUCUUUUUUCCUUUCCUUGUUGUUAUUGUUGUUGCCUAUUGUUCAUUUGAAUUGAUAUCCUCAAGAAUCUUGAUGCAUCUUCAAUGAGUUCAAGUCCUCAGUCAAUUUUGAAAUAGUCAUGGUCUGAGCCAAACCUGGUUAAAAUCAGAUUUUUCAAGCACAUUUUGUCCAAACUUCAAUAAAAUCAUUGAGUGAACUUCUUAUCAAUGGAGUAUAACAACUUAAACAUUUGCAGAAUUAAUUUAUAACUAAGAUUUGUCAUAAUGCCUGGAGUUUUUUUGUUGUCUAAACAAUGGGAUUGACUUUUGGAAUGGCAUUUGAGCCUUGAAUAUCAACAAAGAAAAAUAUAAAAUUUCUGUCAAAUGCCCUUCAUUAUUUUAUCAACAAUUUUCAUCCAUGCUCACAUUUAUGCUGGGAUCUUUCCUUCUUGUUUUAUGUUGCUUUCCUACAGAGGUUACAAAACAGGUUGCAUAUUGCAACAUUCAUUACAGGACACCUAUAUCUGUAGUGGGAUCAGCUUUGAAGAAAAGAAUGGGGUUCAACCAGCCAGGUCCAUAUCUUUCUUGAAAAAAAUCUGAAGGCUUGGAAUUAAUCCCAAACCAUCCAAGAUAAAGUGCAACACAACUUCCACACAAUUGACUCAUUCUUAACAAUCAAUGGAAAUAAUUUGACUUUCCACAGGAUCCAAAAUUUGAUUCCAUGUUCUAGAUUGAUGACUGAAUUAGGAAAGUGAUGUUUCUGAUAUAUAUAUAUAUAUACAUGUGUGUGUGUGUGUGUGUGUGUGUGUGUGUGUGUGUGUGUGUGUGUGUGAAAUCCAAAUUAUUCAAAACUUAGAUAC
Molecule: long non-coding RNA, 920 nt
Filed under: Androctonus crassicauda
Lineage: Eukaryota; Metazoa; Arthropoda; Arachnida; Scorpiones; Buthidae
Source: RNAcentral